Molecule: ribosomal RNA, 558 nt
Filed under: uncultured bacterium
Lineage: Bacteria
Description: bacterial SSU rRNA
Rfam family: Bacterial small subunit ribosomal RNA
Source: RNAcentral
CCUACGGGAGGCAGCAGUGGGGAAUCUUGCACAAUGGAGGAAACUCUGAUGCAGCGAUGCCGCGUGAGUGAAGAAGGCCUUUGGGUUGUAAAGCUCUUUUGUAGGGGAAGAUAGUGACUGUACCCUAAGAAUAAGGUCCGGCUAACUUCGUGCCAGCAGCCGCGGUAAUACGAAGGGACCUAGCGUAGUUCGGAAUUACUGGGCGUAAAGCGCGCGUAGGCCGUUGAGUUAGUUAAUUGUGAAAUCCCAAAGCUUAACUUUGGAACUGCAAUUAAAACUGCUCGACUAGAGUUUGAUAGAGGAAAGCGGAAUACAUAGUGUAGAGGUGAAAUUCGUAGAUAUUAUGUAGAACACCAGUUGCGAAGGCGGCUUUCUGGAUCAACACUGACGCUGAGGCGCGAAAGUAUGGGUAGCAAAGAGGAUUAGAUACCCUCGUAGUCCAUACCAUAAACGAUGAUUGCUAGAUGUUGGAAAUUUAUUUUCAGUAUCGCAGCUAACGCAUUAAGCAAUCCGCCUGGGGAGUACGACCGCAAGGUUAAAACUCAAAGGAAUUGACGG